Apteryx owenii (little spotted kiwi) is the source of this 3269-nucleotide long non-coding RNA. Lineage: Eukaryota; Metazoa; Chordata; Aves; Apterygiformes; Apterygidae. The record is from Ensembl.
GACAUCCUCUCCGACAGCUGGGAGUUCUGCUCCUUCCUGGAGGCCUCCACCCCCUCGGACUCGGGCGACGGCCCCGAGCCGCCGCCGCCGCCGCCGCCGCCGCCGGGCCGCCCGGGGCCCUGCUGCAGGCCGACGAGCCCGAGGAGGAUUGAUCCCGACUCGGCCUGCCCUCGCUGCCUCCCUGCCUGCUGCACAGAGACACACACCCCCCACAGAGACUGAGCCUGUCACGGACAGAAUGGAGAGACCGCGGCACGCAACCAGAGAGAGAAAUAAUACAAAGCGUAAAAAGAGGAAAAACAAACAAACAGACAAAAAACGACAAAAAAAAUGUACCUGUUCAUAACUCCAAGGGAGCACCACCCACCCGACAGCCUCCACAAACUGACAGCCGAGCAACUCCUCCGACCUGCCACCCAUCGCUGGAUGUUCCUCCACUUUACCCACCGUAUCAAACAACUUUUACCAGUAAAUAUCGGUUUAUUCCUGAAACCAGAAGCCCUAAACAUACCUUUGUUUAUAAGGUCAGUUGUCAUUUCAUCUCUCUCGUUCCCCACUCCCCCCCAGUACAAACUGGCAGGUAAUUGAAAGGUACCAAGUUUUCUUUCUAGUUUUCCUGCUCUGCAUCUCUGGAAAAGGAGCCCACAGGACCUAGACCCUUCUGUUGGUAAUGUAGACCUGAGUUUACAAAUUGUUGUUUAACAUUUUAAAGUCUACUUUUAAGGAUACAGGUGUUCCCGUCAGUCUGGUGCGGGAACUAAUAGAAAUCCCUACAAAUGCAUAAAUUGGUUCACCUUUCCAAAGCCUAUGGGUAGGUCUCUCACAAGUGUCUUCAGGCUUGGGCUUAGAAAAUAUUUAUCCAAAAGUGUACACUAGGAAAUGACAUUUCUGUUUUACAGCAAACAGGACUGGGGGAGGGGAGGGUGGGAUCAGAAUUUGGAAAUGAUUUUUUCCCCCUUUUUUUCUAUAUCCUACUAGAAAUCAAGCAUUCUCUUUUGUAAAGAAAGCAUAAAGUGGGGAGGAGGGAGAGAAUUUGGACAUUACCCUUUCUAAACUCUUUCUCCGAAGCAGAGAGAAAAGUCAGGUAAAAGGUUUGAACCUUAAAAGGACAUUGUUAGGUAGGUGAGACUCCAAAAGCAGGCUGGCAUUUCUUAAUGAUUGGAAUUGAUUUGUGUAAUUUUCAGAAUUUUGGUUUAUACCAAGACAAAUCAACCUGGGAGUGUUGAAGCUUCCUUUUCUGCAAGUGUUUGCAACCCAAACACAACAGCAUUAUGCUAAUACUCAAGAAACAGAGAAGCUGGCGAGGAAUAGAAAAUGAGUUGACUGCACAGCCCCAGCCAAAUUUUUCUCUUUUGAACAAACAAAAAAAAAAAAAGAGAGAGAGAGCAAAAAAAACCACACAACCCCCUGCAAAAACAGACAAAAUCAAAACGUGAUUUCAGAUGUUUUAUCGUAUAGAUUAUGGUUGGCAAGAGUGUUUUCAGUACAACUGCAGCCUAACUAUGUCCCUUUAAGGAGCAUAAUCUACUAAUUUCAUUCUAAUGAAACAAAAGCUAAAGUUAUCUUCCCUUUAGUGCAAAUCAAAGCUCCUGAAACCUUAGUUGGAGUCCAUAAUGACGGGAGUCUUCCAGCUGUACACUUUGAGCUGAAAACUACCUUUCCUCCCCUUUUACAGCCUGUGUGGUUCUGAUUGCUGGCAGUUCUAUAACACAACUUUAAUCUGAGCAAUUGAGCCUGGUCCUACAUUAUCUUCAGACGUCUUGCGGAGGACUCCUGUUACCAGUUUGGUACUCAAAAGCUACACCCCACCAUGAGAAGUCAUUUAUUUUUUAAAAGGCAGUAAUAGAUUACCCUCUCUAGCUCUAAUGGAAAAAUUAUAUUGCAAUGCAACUUUAUAAUGAAUUGUUCAUAUAGUCAUAAUUCCGUUGCAAGCCCAAAUUGGAGAACAGAUCUGUUAAAGGUAUAUAUUAGUCUAGUUUUUUUCUUAUUGUAAAUACUGUAAUUUUAUAAUACUGUCAAUAUUUUAUUAACUUAGAAAUAUUUAACAGAGUUUAAUCUAUGUUAGUUCAGAUUUAUUUAUAGGUUUAUGUUGCAGCCAAUAUUGCAUUACAUUCUAAUGUAAGAUUAACUUUCAGCAUGUAAACAUUGAUUUAAUAUAUCAUUGGAAAAACUAAGAGAGAAAAUUCUCACUCUUAAGCUGUAAUAUUUAUCCCGCAAUUCCCAGUUCAGAAUCAUUUAAUGAACAAUUAUGAGAUUUCAAAAACUCAUGAAACUAACAACUGCACUUGGACCAUGUCAUUUGAAAACUUGAAUUUAUAAAUGUACCUGGCUCUUUCACCCUGUUUGUAGUGAAUGAGAUUGCUUCAAUAUCUAAUCUAUAUAGUAUGGAAGUCUUUAUUUUGAGCAAAGGGACACUGUCAGAUCAAUUUUAGAUUCUUGUUUAAAAAAAAAGAAGAAGAAAAAAGAAAAACUCACCCUCAGUACAUGUGUGUUAAUUCAUUUUUAACUGCAAGGGAAAAAUAAUAUAUAUAUUUUUUUAGUUUGUUUAUUUGGCUCGAAACUUUCCUGAAGCUGUUUGCAUCUCAGAGCUGUGCAGCUCUGGGUGCUGGGUGAAAGGCAGCCGACUACAAGGACUUGCCUGACCACAGGACGUGGAGUCUCUCCCGGUCCAAGUGAAAGGCCUGAUCCCCUCCUGUGCAAAGUACGUGGCAAUGCCUCUGCCUCAGAGGGAAACAGGAUCAGGUCCCUGACACUGAUCAAAAUCAGAGCUCAGCAAGAUGACUACAAGUGCACAAGGUGUCUAAAACUUGCCAUUUUCUUGAUCAAAGUUUCUCUUCAGAAAUUUGCUUUUUAUAUAUAUAUAUAUAUGUAUAUAUAUAUAUAAAAGAUAUAUCUAUCUGUCUAUCUAUCUUAGCCUGAUAGUGUCCCUUUAAAAGUAUAUAGAUGUUCACUUUCUCUGCAAAAUGACUGGAAGUGAUUUUCUUUUUAAGAUAGAGGAGAAUUCAUCUGUAAUAUGUUUGAAACAUAACUUGCCUAAAAAUACCAAAAAUAUCUCAAGGGUUUUCAUGGGAGUUGGUAUUUUUUGAGUGUAAAAGUUAAUCUUUAUUAGAGAUGUGCCAAUCUAUACUGCUUUAUUGUAGUGUUGUUAUAUUUAGGCAUUUCAGUUAACUUACAAAUAUAUACUGUAACAGUAUACUUUGUACAGAUUUAUUUAAAAUUUAUUUGAAAACUGAAAUAAAGUAGGCAGAAAAUAAAGAUAUUUAUUUUUC